UUGAACGCUGGCGGCAUGCCUUACACAUGCAAGUCGAACGGCAGCACGGGUGCUUGCACCUGGUGGCGAGUGGCGAACGGGUGAGUAAUACAUCGGAACAUGUCCUGUAGUGGGGGAUAGCCCGGCGAAAGCCGGAUUAAUACCGCAUACGAUCUACGGAUGAAAGCGGGGGACCUUCGGGCCUCGCGCUAUAGGGUUGGCCGAUGGCUGAUUAGCUAGUUGGUGGGGUAAAGGCCUACCAAGGCGACGAUCAGUAGCUGGUCUGAGAGGACGACCAGCCACACUGGGACUGAGACACGGCCCAGACUCCUACGGGAGGCAGCAGUGGGGAAUUUUGGACAAUGGGCGAAAGCCUGAUCCAGCAAUGCCGCGUGUGUGAAGAAGGCCUUCGGGUUGUAAAGCACUUUUGUCCGGAAAGAAAUCCUUGGCUCUAAUACAGUCGGGGGAUGACGGUACCGGAAGAAUAAGCACCGGCUAACUACGUGCCAGCAGCCGCGGUAAUACGUAGGGUGCGAGCGUUAAUCGGAAUUACUGGGCGUAAAGCGUGCGCAGGCGGUUUGCUAAGACCGAUGUGAAAUCCCCGGGCUCAACCUGGGAACUGCAUUGGUGACUGGCAGGCUAGAGUAUGGCAGAGGGGGGUAGAAUUCCACGUGUAGCAGUGAAAUGCGUAGAGAUGUGGAGGAAUACCGAUGGCGAAGGCAGCCCCCUGGGCCAAUACUGACGCUCAUGCACGAAAGCGUGGGGAGCAAACAGGAUUAGAUACCCUGGUAGUCCACGCCCUAAACGAUGUCAACUAGUUGUUGGGGAUUCAUUUCCUUAGUAACGUAGCUAACGCGUGAAGUUGACCGCCUGGGGAGUACGGUCGCAAGAUUAAAACUCAAAGGAAUUGACGGGGACCCGCACAAGCGGUGGAUGAUGUGGAUUAAUUCGAUGCAACGCGAAAAACCUUACCUACCCUUGACAUGGUCGGAAUCCCGCUGAGAGGUGGGAGUGCUCGAAAGAGAACCGGCGCACAGGUGCUGCAUGGCUGUCGUCACCUCGUGUCGUGAGAUGUUGGGUCCCCGCCCCGCAACGAGCGCAACCCUUGUCCUUAGUUGCUACGCAAGAGCACUCUAAGGAGACUGCCGGUGACAAACCGGAGGAAGGUGGGGAUGACGUCAAGUCCUCAUGGCCCUUAUGGGUAGGGCUUCACACGUCAUACAAUGGUCGGAACAGAGGGUUGCCAACCCGCGAGGGGGAGCUAAUCCCAGAAAACCGAUCGUAGUCCGGAUUGCACUCUGCAACUCGAGUGCAUGAAGCUGGAAUCGCUAGUAAUCGCGGAUCAGCAUGCCGCGGUGAAUACGUUCCCGGGUCUUGUACACACCGCCCGU
Molecule: ribosomal RNA, 1370 nt
Filed under: uncultured beta proteobacterium
Lineage: Bacteria; Pseudomonadati; Pseudomonadota; Betaproteobacteria
Description: bacterial SSU rRNA
Rfam family: Bacterial small subunit ribosomal RNA
Source: RNAcentral